AUUGAUGUAUGGACCACCGUACAUAUUAAAGGAACACUCCAAGCACUUGCUUAAGUGCUUUAUGUGUAAAGAGUGUGUCCCCUAGUGUGAUGAUUAUGGCUUACAGCUCAUGAAAAACCCAAAUCCACAAUCUCAGUGUUUUAGAAUAUUGUGAAAAUUGGUGCAAUAUUCUAGGCUCACAGUGUCCCACUCUAAUCAGCUAAGUAAGCCAUAACACCUGCAAAGGGUUUCUGAGCCUUUAAAUGGUUUCUUAGUCAGGUUCAGUAGGAAUCACAACCAUAAUUGACACCCUCCAUAAGGAGGGAAAGCCUCAAAAGGUAAUUGCGAAGGAAGUUGGAAGUUCCCAAAGUGCUGUAUCAAAGCACAUUAAUAGAAUGUUAUGUAGCAUGAAAAGUGUGGAAGAAAAAGGUGCACAAGCAGCAGGGAUGUCCGUGGCCUGGAGAGGGUUGUCAGGAAAAGGCCAUUCAAAUGUGUUGGGGACUUUCACAAGGUGUGGAUUGAGGCUGGAGUCAGUGCAUCAAGAGCCACCACACACAGACAGAUCCUGGACAUGGGCUUCAGAUGUUGUAUUCCUCUUGUCAAUUCGCUCCUGAAGCAUCUUACCUGGGCUAAAGAAAAACAGACCUGGUCUGUUGCUCAGUCGUCCAAAGCCCUCUUUUCUGAUGAGAGCAACUUUUGCAUCUCAUUUGGAAACCAAGGACCCAGAGUCUGGAUGAAUAAUGGAGAGGCACACACUGCAAGAUGCUUGAAGUCCAGUGUGAAGUUUCCACAGUCUGUGUUGAUUUGGGGAGCCAUGUCAUCUGCUGGUGUUGGUCCACUGUGCUUCAUUAAGUCCAGGGCCAACGCAGCCAUCUACCAGGAGAUUUUGGAGCACUUCAUGCUUCCUUCUGCAAACAAGCUUUAUGGGGAUGAUGACUUCAUUUUCCAAAAGCACCAAAGCCUGUCCCAAAUGACCGUGGGAUUACCGUGCUUGAUUGGCCAGCAAAUUUGCCUGACCUGAACCCCAUAGAGAAUCUAUGGGGUAUUGCCAAGAGAAAGAUGAGACAUGAGACCGAACAAUGCAGAAGAGCUGAAGGCCGCUAUUGAAGCAUCCUGGUCUUCCAUGCCAUGCCGCAUUGAGGCAGUAAUUGCUGCAAAAAGGGCCCAAACCAAGUACUGAAUCCAUAUGCAUGCUUAUACUUUUCAGAGGUCCGAUAUUGUUCUAUGUACACUCCUUGUUUUAUUGAUUGCAUGUAAUAUUCUAAUUUACUGAGAUUGUGGAUUUGGGGUUUUCAUGAGCUGUAAGCCAUCAUCAUCGCACUUAUGACAAAUCACGGCUUGAACUAUCUUGCUUUGCAUGUAAUGCGUCUAUCUCAUAUAUUAGUUUCCCCUUUUACGUUGCAUUACUGAAAUAAAUGAACUUUUGCACGAUAUUCUAAUUUUUCGAGUAUCACCUGUAAUUCUUAAACAGCAUACCGAUCCAGUGUGUUAUAGUUAUCAAUGAGUGGGGUAUAGAGCUGUCACAGAUUAUAUUAGUAUUCUUUUUAUAAUUUUUUGUUUGUGCAAGCAGGAGUAGGUGUACCCCCAAAAGACAAAAUCAGGACAUUAGAGUAGAUUAUUACAUCCAACACAUGAAAACAUGAGUCCUGAGCCUAAUAUUAUUAUUGAAUUGAAAUAGAAUACACAUGGUCAGUUUACACAAGCCUUGGAUCAGGGGUUUCAAUCCUUGUCGAUAUAAUGGUACAGUCAUCCAAGUACCUUCUUCAAGAUAAUAUGAAUGGGAAGCCAUUGAGUAGCUGAGAGUGUCAGCUGUCCACUCAGCCAAUCAGCAGCCCCUCCCCCCCCAGUGGCACUCUGUGCUUCCCCAGAAGCCAGAUGCUGUCAAGAGGAGAAAAGAUCGGUGCUGGAGGUUCACUUAGGGGUUAAGCAGUACGAGAACG
Pelobates cultripes (western spadefoot toad) is the source of this 1919-nucleotide non-coding RNA. NCBI's taxonomy places the organism in Eukaryota, Metazoa, Chordata, Amphibia, Anura, Pelobatidae. The record is from the annotation of a GenBank genome assembly.